Molecule: ribosomal RNA, 554 nt
Filed under: Pseudomonas taiwanensis
Lineage: Bacteria; Pseudomonadati; Pseudomonadota; Gammaproteobacteria; Pseudomonadales; Pseudomonadaceae
Description: bacterial SSU rRNA
Rfam family: Bacterial small subunit ribosomal RNA
Source: RNAcentral
AGCUUGCUCCUGGAUUCAGCGGCGGACGGGUGAGUAAUGCCUAGGAAUCUGCCUGGUAGUGGGGGACAACGUUUCGAAAGGAACGCUAAUACCGCAUACGUCCUACGGGAGAAAGCAGGGGACCUUCGGGCCUUGCGCUAUCAGAUGAGCCUAGGUCGGAUUAGCUAGUUGGUGGGGUAAUGGCUCACCAAGGCGACGAUCCGUAACUGGUCUGAGAGGAUGAUCAGUCACACUGGAACUGAGACACGGUCCAGACUCCUACGGGAGGCAGCAGUGGGGAAUAUUGGACAAUGGGCGAAAGCCUGAUCCAGCCAUGCCGCGUGUGUGAAGAAGGUCUUCGGAUUGUAAAGCACUUUAAGUUGGGAGGAAGGGCAGUAAGCGAAUACCUUGCUGUUUUGACGUUACCGACAGAAUAAGCACCGGCUAACUCUGUGCCAGCAGCCGCGGUAAUACAGAGGGUGCAAGCGUUAAUCGGAAUUACUGGGCGUAAAGCGCGCGUAGGUGGUUUGUUAAGUUGGAUGUGAAAGCCCCGGGCUCAACCUGGGAACUGCAUC